RNAcentral lists this ribosomal RNA (373 nucleotides) under uncultured prokaryote. Its description in RNAcentral is "bacterial SSU rRNA". It matches the Rfam family "Bacterial small subunit ribosomal RNA", at positions 524 to 896 of the family's 1533-position model. The record is from RNAcentral.
UACGUAGGGGGCGAGCGUUAUCCGGAUUUAUUGGGCAUAAAGAGCGUGUAGGUUGUAUCUUAAGUCAGUUGUUAAAUCCCCCGGCUCAACCGGGGUUCGCAAUUGAUACUGGGAUACUAGAGAUUGGGAGAGGAAAGCGGAACUCACGGUGUAGCGGUGAAAUGCGUAGAUAUCGUGAGGAACACCAGUUGCGAAGGCGGCUUUCUGGACCAAAUCUGACACUCAAGCGCGAAAGCGUGGGGAGCAAACGGGAUUAGAUACCCCGGUAGUCCACGCUGUAAACGGUGUUCACUAGGUGUGGGAGGUAUCGACCCCUUCCGUGCCACAGAUAAUUCGUUAAGUGAACCGCCUGGGAAGUACGACCGCAAGGUUA